GUGAUGAGUCGCCCCACCGCGGCGCCGAAAGGUGACGAGGAAAGUCCGGGCAACACAGAGCACCCUGCUUCCUAACGGGAAGGACUGGUGCGCGUAAAGCAAUCCAGGACAGCCAGUGCCACAGAAAACUACCGCCAGGCGGUGAGUGUGUGAUGGAUGGAUGAGCGAGUUACAUCACUCAUUCAUUAUUUCGCUCAGUCACUUCUGGUAAGGGUGAAAAGGUGCGGUAAGAGCGCACCAGCGGCUGGGCAACCAUGCCGGCUGGGUAAACCUCAGGGGUUGAAAGACCAAAUAAGCUGGCACGCGGGUCUUUUGGGGCCCGCACCGGGCGGCUCGUUCGGCGUCAGCGGGUAGGUUGAUGGAGCCUUUCCGUGAGGACUGGCCUAGAUAAAUGGUGGGGCCGUUUCUGCUUGCAGAAGCGGACAAAACCCGGCUUAUAGACUCAUCACCUGA
Molecule: RNase P RNA, 453 nt
Filed under: Hymenobacter wooponensis
Lineage: Bacteria; Pseudomonadati; Bacteroidota; Cytophagia; Cytophagales; Hymenobacteraceae
Description: RNase P RNA component class A
Rfam family: Bacterial RNase P class A
About the family: Ribonuclease P (RNase P) is a ubiquitous endoribonuclease, found in archaea, bacteria and eukarya as well as chloroplasts and mitochondria. Its best characterised activity is the generation of mature 5'-ends of tRNAs by cleaving the 5'-leader elements of precursor-tRNAs.
Source: RNAcentral